CUCACAUCCGGGUAUCCUCCCACAUCCGGGUAUCCUCCCACAUCCGGGUAUCCUCCCGCCUCCGCAUCCAGGGAUCCUCUUCCAGGUGCGUUAGGAGGUCUGUGCCCUCGUGCGAGUCUUUGGCUGUUCAGCCAUUCUUUAUGCACCCAACCUCUAGGCGUGGGACAGCACUCUCGCCUCAGUUCCUCCAGUGUCUCUUUCACGUCCUUUUCUUCCUCACUCUACCAACCAAACGUUCAUUCCCUUCAGGCUCUGGGUUAGGAAAAUAAAAUGGCCUGACUACAGAAAGGAAACUCCAAAAUUUAUGGGCUUGUGAUUGCAGUUCAACUAUUGUGUUUGGAGUGAAAUCCCUUUCUUUGAGCAGUUUUAACGGGAACUCUGAAAAGGAUCUCAGGGACUCUGAGAGGUCCUAGGACUACACUUUCAGAAUUGUUGCUGUAAAAACUCUGUUUGAAUUCUGUUCCAUGUGCGUGGAUCAGCAAGUCAAAAU
RNAcentral lists this long non-coding RNA (490 nucleotides) under Equus caballus (horse). RNAcentral describes it as "lncRNA (ENSECAG00000055977.1)". The record is from RNAcentral. Lineage: Eukaryota; Metazoa; Chordata; Mammalia; Perissodactyla; Equidae.